Molecule: ribosomal RNA, 817 nt
Filed under: uncultured Chlamydiales bacterium
Lineage: Bacteria; Pseudomonadati; Chlamydiota; Chlamydiia; Chlamydiales
Description: bacterial SSU rRNA
Rfam family: Bacterial small subunit ribosomal RNA
Source: RNAcentral
GCUAACUUGAGGGUACUAGGUAAAGAAGCACCGGCUAACUCCGUGCCAGCAGCUGCGGUAAUACGGAGGGUGCAAGCAUUAAUCGGAUUUAUUGGGCGUAAAGGGCGCGUAGGCGGUUAUGUAAGUCAGAUGUGAAAUUCCGAAGCUCAACUUCGGAACUGCAUUUGAAACUACAUGUCUAGAGGAUAUGGCGGAGAAAAUGGAAUUCCACAUGUAGCGGUGAAAUGCGUAGAUAUGUGGAAGAAUCACCUGUGGCGAAAGCGAUUUUCUAGCUUAUUCCUGACGCUGAGGCGCGAAAGCAAGGGGAUCAAACAGGAUUAGAUACCCUGGUAGUCCUUGCCGUAAACGAUGUAUACUUGAUGUAGUUAGGCUCAACCCUGACUGUGUCGUAGCUAACGCGAUAAGUAUACCGCCUGGGGAGUACGCUCGCAAGGGUGAAACUCAAAAGAAUUGACGGGGGCCCGCACAAGCAGUGGAGCAUGUGGUUUAAUUCGAUGCAACGCGAAGAACCUUACCCAGGCUCGAAAUGUAAUGGACAUCUUCAGAGAUGAAGAGUUCCGCAAGGACUGUUAUAUAGGUGCUGCAUGGCUGUCGUCAGCUCGUGCCGUGAGGUGUUUGGUUAAGUCCAGCAACGAGCGCAACCCUUAUCAUUAGUUGCCAACACGCGAGGUGGGGACUCUAAUGAGACUGCCUAGGUUAACUAGGAGGAAGGUGAGGAUGACGUCAAGUCCGCAUGGCCUUUAUGUCUGGGGCUACACACGUGCUACAAUGGUCGGUACAGAAGGCAGCAAAGCCGCAAGGUGAAGCAAAUCCCAAA